GCUAAUACCGCAUAACGUCGCAAGACCAAAGAGGGGGACCUUCGGGCCUCUUGCCAUCAGAUGUGCCCAGAUGGGAUUAGCUAGUAGGUGGGGUAAUGGCUCACCUAGGCGACGAUCCCUAGCUGGUCUGAGAGGAUGACCAGCCACACUGGAACUGAGACACGGUCCAGACUCCUACGGGAGGCAGCAGUGGGGAAUAUUGCACAAUGGGCGCAAGCCUGAUGCAGCCAUGCCGCGUGUGUGAAGAAGGCCUUCGGGUUGUAAAGCACUUUAAGUUGGGGGGAAGGGUACUUACCUAAUACGUGAGUAUUUUGACGUUACCGACAGAAUAAGCACCGGCUAACUCUGUGCCAGCAGCCGCGGUAAUACAGAGGGUGCAAGCGUUAAUCGGAAUUACUGGGCGUAAAGCGCGCGUAGGUGGUUUGUUAAGUUGGAUGUGAAAGCCCCGGGCUCAACCUGGGAACUGCAUCCAAAACUGGCAAGCUAGAGUAUGGUAGAGGGUGGUGGAAUUUCCUGGGUAGCGGUGAAAUG
This 531-nucleotide ribosomal RNA is filed under the name uncultured bacterium. RNAcentral's name for it is "bacterial SSU rRNA". It matches the Rfam family "Bacterial small subunit ribosomal RNA", at positions 162 to 688 of the family's 1533-position model. The record is from RNAcentral.